RNAcentral lists this ribosomal RNA (253 nucleotides) under uncultured bacterium. RNAcentral describes it as "partial 16S ribosomal RNA". It matches the Rfam family "Bacterial small subunit ribosomal RNA", at positions 524 to 776 of the family's 1533-position model. The record is from RNAcentral.
UACAGAGGUCCCAAGCGUUGUUCGGAUUCACUGGGCGUAAAGGGUGCGUAGGUGGUGGGGUAAGUCGGAUGUGAAAGCUCGGAGCUCAACUCCGAAAUGGCAUUGGAAACUAUCCUGCUAGAGGAUUGGAGGGGGGACUGGAAUACUUGGUGUAGCAGUGAAAUGCGUAGAUAUCAAGUGGAACACCAGUGGCGAAGGCGAGUCCCUGGACAAUUCCUGACACUGAGGCACGAAAGCUAGGGGAGCAAACAGG